Molecule: ribosomal RNA, 343 nt
Filed under: uncultured bacterium
Lineage: Bacteria
Description: bacterial SSU rRNA
Rfam family: Bacterial small subunit ribosomal RNA
Source: RNAcentral
GGGCCCGCACAAGCGGUGGAGCAUGUGGUUUAAUUCGAUGAUACGCGAGGAACCUUACCAGGGCUUAAAUGUAAGUUGACAGGGUGGAAACACCUUUUUCUUCGGACAAUUUACAAGGUGCUGCAUGGUUGUCGUCAGCUCGUGCCGUGAGGUGUCAGGUUAAGUCCUAUAACGAGCGCAACCCCUGUUGUUAGUUGCCAUCGAGUAAUGUCGGGAACUCUAACAAGACUGCCGGUGCAAACCGUGAGGAAGGUGGGGAUGACGUCAAAUCAUCACGGCCCUUACGUCCUGGCUACACACGUGCUACAAUGGCCGGUACAGUGAGCAGCCACCCCGUGAGGGG